Molecule: long non-coding RNA, 1498 nt
Filed under: Homo sapiens (human)
Lineage: Eukaryota; Metazoa; Chordata; Mammalia; Primates; Hominidae
Description: PREDICTED lncRNA (TCONS_00067688)
Source: RNAcentral
ACUGUGAAGUCACAAGAGGCCCUGAGCUCUGUGGGCCCCAGGUGCCCCGGGAAAACUUGGGGGAGAAUGGGCAUCCCACCCCAGCACUUUCUAGGAAGAAGGGCAGCAUUUUGAAGGGCUGGAAGUAGAGGAAGGAGGUUGCGGGUAGAAGACUCCAUACUUUCUGUGACGCCUAUUCCUUAGGUAGGAACUUAGGAACCUCAGUCAGAGGCAUGGCUUGCCUGGGCCUCUGGGUGCAGCUGCACAGAUUCAAGCAGCCUGAAGGAAAGGUGACUGACAGCUAAUGAUCUGAAAAGAACUUGUCUCAACUCAACGUCAUUCCUGGCAUUAUCGAACAAAGCAAUAAACCUCACAGAAUGGAAGCUACAGUGUCCAGGGCCAGCUCUGCUAAGGUAACCAAAGACAGAGAAGGAGGCAAAAGUGACAGAAGAAACUCAUGGGAAACCAACAGAAAUAUAAUGGCUUUGGCAGAAAUGCAAUUAUCAAUUGGGAGCUUGUGAUGAAUGUUUUCUCAGUAUCCUAUGCUGAAAACAGGUAGAUACUAAUAUCGAUCUUCAAGGGAGGGCUGUUGAGUAUUGAAUAAGACAAAAACAUGGAAGCAAUCAGCACCAUGCUGAACAACAGAAGUUUCAACAUUCUGCCAACAGAGUAACUCCUGGAAGAUUGGCACAGAAGAAGGCACAAGGAGAGCCUUUAUAUAACCAAAGAUAUUUUUGGACCAUGAAUUCAGAAAUUCUCGGAGCCACCCAUCAGUGCCUGAGCUUCAGUGAGUCCAUAUCCCAUGUCACCCACGGCAAAGGAGACUCUAAGACUUCUGAAGAGUUUCUUGCUUCUUUCCUGUGGGGCAGUGACUCCACUUCCCAGCAGUAAUGGAAUAUCCUGAAUUAGCUACAUUAAUGUUAGAACCAUUUGGACCUCACCCAGGACUUCAACUACAUUAUGGUUCUAGUAUGUUACGUUUAUGUUCCCCUGCUUUCUACAAUCCUGUUCAAAGAGUUGCUGACUUAACCACAGAGAGGAUUCCAGAACCUGAGACACAGAAUAAACUUGAGCAAUCAUAGUCCAUCCACUUCAUUGUCUCAUCAAAAACCAAAGGUCCAGUGAAGCUCUGGAACUCAACGCUGUAAAGGAGCGAAGGAGCUUCUAUACAGAGCCUGGAUGCCUGUCUCCUUAUCCUACUUCAGUGGACUUGACUGCAAUCCGGAUUAUGCUGUUUUCUAAGCAUUUAAAAUAAAAUAAAAAGUAUAAUAGUGUGAUAAGUUCUUUCACAAAGCAAGCAAUCACAUUUAUGUUUCUACUUACAUUUGGGUUUUCCAAAUAUGUGUGUGUGUGUGUGUGUGUGUGUGUGUGUGUGUAUGUAGACUUUAAACAUGGUGCAUCCAUCAUGUUGCACUAAAUCAAAACCACCAAAUAAUGAUGUAGAACUAAUAAAUCAAAACCAUCAAAUAAUGACAUAGAAAUCCAAUUCUCCCACCUUACACCCAUUAAGAUGGCUACU